CAUUUAUGGCUAAAGUGCAGUUGCAUUUUUGCUUUUCCAGAGCUUUGCUCAUCCAAAAAUGGCAAAGAAGUUAUUGCAUUUGUCUCCUUCUCCAGCGAAUCAACAAAAGAAACGAAUAGUUUGAUCGUUGUUGGUGAAAGACGAAGGUGAUUGUCAACACUCGUCGCCCCCGUCGCUACACGGCAAAAAUUAUCAGGUGGGAUUGACGUCUACCCCUCGUGGCUGAGAGUUCGAGGUUGCUGAUUUGAGUCUUGUUGGGGUGAGCAUGUGGACGCUUCGCUGCGCGGAGACUCUUCUUUUAUUAUGUCUUAUUUUGCUAUUCUGAGACAUAUUAAGACUAUUGAUGCAUUAUUAUUACUUCCAGACUUGUAGAAUUUAGUUAGAUGCUCUUGUAUGACCAGGCCAAAUACUAGGUGGUUUUUGAUGUACUUUCGCGUUAUUUAUAAAUUCAUAUGUCAGACUUACGUUACUUUAA
This is a long non-coding RNA of Lycium ferocissimum, 475 nucleotides long. RefSeq lists it as uncharacterized. The transcript has 2 exons. NCBI's taxonomy places the organism in Eukaryota, Viridiplantae, Streptophyta, Magnoliopsida, Solanales, Solanaceae. The record is from RefSeq and is a predicted model, not a curated record.